Molecule: ribosomal RNA, 255 nt
Filed under: uncultured bacterium
Lineage: Bacteria
Description: partial 16S ribosomal RNA
Rfam family: Bacterial small subunit ribosomal RNA
Source: RNAcentral
UACAGAGGAGCCAAGCGUUGUCCGGAUUGACUGGGCGUAAAGCGCACGCAGGCGGUCGCGCGCGUGGGGUGUGAAAUCUGGCCGCUUAACGGCCAGGCGCCAUCCCAUACGGCGCGACUGGAGUGAUGCAGAGGUCGGUGGAAUUGCCGGUGUAGUGGUGAAAUGCGUAGAGAUCGGGCAGGAACACCCAGGGGGGAAACCAGCCGACUGGGCAUCUACUGACGCUGAGGUGCGAGAGCGUGGGGAGCGAACCGG